This 535-nucleotide ribosomal RNA is filed under the name uncultured Glomus. RNAcentral's name for it is "SSU rRNA". It matches the Rfam family "Eukaryotic small subunit ribosomal RNA", at positions 569 to 1092 of the family's 1831-position model. Lineage: Eukaryota; Fungi; Glomeromycota; Glomeromycetes; Glomerales; Glomeraceae. The record is from RNAcentral.
AGCAGCCGCGGUAAUUCCAGCUCCAAUAGCGUAUAUUAAAGUUGUUGCAGUUAAAAAGCUCGUAGUUGAAUUUCGGGAUCAGUACGCUGGUCGUGCCUUCGGUAUGAACUGGUGUCACUGGUUCCUCCCUUCUGAAGAACCGUCAUGCCAUUCAGUUGGUGUGGCGGGGAAUCAGGACUGUUACUUUGAAAAAAUUAGAGUGUUUAAAGCAGGCUCGCGCUUGAAUACAUUAGCAUGGAAUAAUGAAAUAGGACGUUUGACCCUAUUUUGUUGGUCUAUUUUGUUGGUUUCUAGGAUCGACGUAAUGAUUAAUAGGGAUAGUUGGGGGCAUUAGUAUUCAAUUGUCAGAGGUGAAAUUCUUGGAUUUAUUGAAGACUAACUACUGCGAAAGCAUUUGCCAAGGAUGUUUUCAUUAAUCAAGAACGAAAGUUAGGGGAUCGAAGACGAUCAGAUACCGUCGUAGUCUUAACCAUAAACUAUGCCGACUAGGGAUCGGAUGAUGUUAAUUUUUUAAUGACUCAUUCGGCGCCUUACG